GACGAACGCUGGCGGCGUGCUUAACACAUGCAAGUCGAACGGAAAGGCCCUGCUUUUGUGGGGUGCUCGAGUGGCGAACGGGUGAGUAACACGUGAGUAACCUGCCCUUGACUUUGGGAUAACUUCAGGAAACUGGGGCUAAUACCGGAUAGGAGCUCCUGCUGCAUGGUGGGGGUUGGAAAGUUUCGGCGGUUGGGGAUGGACUCGCGGCUUAUCAGAUUGUUGGUGGGGUAGUGGCUUACCAAGGCUUUGACGGGUAGCCGGCCUGAGAGGGUGACCGGCCACAUUGGGACUGAGAUACGGCCCAGACUCCUACGGGAGGCAGCAGUGGGGAAUAUUGCACAAUGGGCGGAAGCCUGAUGCAGCAACGCCGCGUGCGGGAUGACGGCCUUCGGGUUGUAAACCGCUUUCGCCUGUGACGAAGCGUGAGUGACGGUAAUGGGUAAAGAAGCACCGGCUAACUACGUG
RNAcentral lists this ribosomal RNA (468 nucleotides) under uncultured bacterium. Its description in RNAcentral is "partial 16S ribosomal RNA". It matches the Rfam family "Bacterial small subunit ribosomal RNA", at positions 28 to 507 of the family's 1533-position model. The record is from RNAcentral.